RNAcentral lists this ribosomal RNA (463 nucleotides) under uncultured bacterium. RNAcentral describes it as "bacterial SSU rRNA". It matches the Rfam family "Bacterial small subunit ribosomal RNA", at positions 328 to 792 of the family's 1533-position model. The record is from RNAcentral.
UUGCCAGACUCCUACGGGAGGCAGCAGUGGGGAAUAUUGCACAAUGGGGGGAACCCUGAUGCAGCGACGCCGCGUGGGUGAAGGAGCACCUCGGUGCGUAAAGCCCUAUCGGCAGGGAAGGAAAGCGAACAGGUUCGCCUGGACGGUACCUGACUAAGAAGCCCCGGCUAACUACGUGCCAGCAGCCGCGGUAAUACGUAGGGGGCAAGCGUUAUCCGGAUUUACUGGGUGUAAAGGGAGCGUAGACGGCUAGUCAAGUCAGAAGUGAAAGCCCAGGGCUCAACCUUGGGACUGCUUUUGAAACUGAGUAGCUAGAGUGCAGGAGAGGUAAGCGGAAUUCCUGGUGUAGCGGUGAAAUGCGUAGAUAUUAGGAGGAACACCAGUGGCGAAAGCGGCUUACUGGACUGUAACUGACGUUGAGGCUCGAAAGCGUGGGGAGCAAACAGGAUUAGAUACCCCUGUA